CCUACGGGAGGCAGCAGUGAGGAAUUUUGGUCAAUGGCCGAGAGGCUGAACCAGCCAAGUCGCGUGAGGGAAGAAGGACCUACGGGUUGUAAACCUCUUUUGUCGGGGAGCAAAGAGAACAAAGAGAGGUUCAAUGAGAGUACACGAAGAAAAAGCAUCGGCUACCUCCGUGAAAGCAGCCGAGGGAAUAGGGAGGAUGCGAGCGUUACACGGAUUGAUUGGGUUUAAAGGGUGAGCAGGCGUAGGGGCAAGUCAGCGGUCAAAUUGCGGGGCUCAACCCCGUACUGCAGUUGAAACUGCAUCCCUUGAGUGCGCGAGAAGUAUGCGGAAUGCGUGGUGUAGCAGUGAAAUGCAUAGAUAUCACGCAGAACUCCGAUUGCGAAGGCAGCAUACCGGCGCUCAACUGACGCUCAUGCACGAAAGCGUGGGUAUCGAACAGGAUUAGAUACCCCUGUAGUC
RNAcentral lists this ribosomal RNA (459 nucleotides) under uncultured bacterium. RNAcentral's name for it is "partial 16S ribosomal RNA". It matches the Rfam family "Bacterial small subunit ribosomal RNA", at positions 338 to 795 of the family's 1533-position model. The record is from RNAcentral.